Molecule: ribosomal RNA, 358 nt
Filed under: uncultured fungus
Lineage: Eukaryota; Fungi
Description: eukaryotic LSU rRNA
Rfam family: Eukaryotic large subunit ribosomal RNA
Source: RNAcentral
AUAUCAAUAAGCGGAGGAAAAGAAACCAACAGGGAUUGCCUCAGUAACGGCGAGUGAAGCGGCAACAGCUCAAAUUUGAAAUCUGGCCUCACGGUCCGAGUUGUAAUUUGUAGAGGAUGUUUCGAGUGUGGUCCGGUCUAAGUUCCUUGGAACAGGACGUCAUAGAGGGUGAGAAUCCCGUAUGCGACUGGGUGCCUAAUCUCAUGUGAAACUCCUUCGACGAGUCGAGUUGUUUGGGAAUGCAGCUCAAAAUGGGUGGUAAAUUUCAUCUAAAGCUAAAUACUGGCCAGAGACCGAUAGCGCACAAGUAGAGUGAUCGAAAGAUGAAAAGCACUUUGGAAAGAGAGUUAAACAGUAC